Molecule: unclassified non-coding RNA, 332 nt
Filed under: soil metagenome
Description: partial contains 5.8S ribosomal RNA, internal transcribed spacer 2, and large subunit ribosomal RNA
Rfam family: 5.8S ribosomal RNA (bases 1-120)
Source: RNAcentral
GAUGAAGAACGUAGUGAAAUGCGAUACGUAAUGUGAAUUGCAGAUUUCAGUGAAUCAUCGAAUCUUUGAACGCACAUUGCGCCCGCUAGUAUUCUGGCGGGCAUGCCUGUUCGAGCGUCAUUUCAACCAUCAAGCCCCCGGCUUGCGUUGGAGCCCUGCGGCUGCCGCAGGCUCCCAAAUCCAGUGGCGGGCUCGUCGUCGUACCGAGUGCAGUAAACAUCCUCGCUCAGGGAACGUGACGGGUUCUUGCCGUGAAACCCCCCACAUAUCAAGGUUGACCUCGGAUCAGGUAGGAAUACCCGCUGAACUUAAGCAUAUCAAUAAGCGGAGGA